Molecule: non-coding RNA, 85 nt
Organism: Lactarius indigo
Lineage: Eukaryota; Fungi; Basidiomycota; Agaricomycetes; Russulales; Russulaceae
Source: the annotation of a GenBank genome assembly
GCAUUGUUGGGGUAGUGGUAACCUGGGUCGUUGCCACCUCGUGCGCAUAUUCGACCCGCCCCGGGUUCAAUUCCCGGACAAUGCA